Molecule: long non-coding RNA, 8950 nt
Filed under: Daucus carota (carrot)
Lineage: Eukaryota; Viridiplantae; Streptophyta; Magnoliopsida; Apiales; Apiaceae
Description: long non-coding RNA (DCAR_LNC006860)
Source: RNAcentral
AAAAGUCAAAGUGACAGUCACUUGUGUAAUGGCCACCUUUAUAUAUGGAACCUACGGGUAAUUACGGAGCAGACUAUAUGUCAGCCAUAGACGGGGCCGACUUGUGUCGGACAUAGACGGAGCCGAUUUCCAUAGUCGGACAUAGACGGAGCUGGCCAGACACACAUAAAUCCUUUGAGGAUAUAUGUGGAAACACGGGCAUUAUACAGUGAACUGUUCACAAUAGAAAAAGAAAAAGAAAUAGAGAUGCAUGCAUGCAUAGAUACAAGCUCAUACAUUCGUUGCAUACAUGAUUAACAAAAGUAAGUGAUUUAUGAUUAACUAAAGCAUAUAUGUGAUGAUUCUAUAUUUUCGUGUAAUUUGAGAUGAUGAUAAUAUUAUGAAUGAAAGAAAUAUUUGUUCUCAUAAAUACGAGCAGGAAAUAUAUAUUAAAAUGAAUAUUUCUUACAAUUGUUUCAAAAGAACCUUACUUUCUUUUGUUUUCUGGAAAAUUUUACAAAGACGUUAUAAGUUAUUUUCAACAAUCUAUGUAUCUUUUUCAAAGUAAAGUUGAUGUAUAUUCAUUGAGUUGCGACUCAUGGAAAUCGCUCAUUUUUCCAGGAUAUGAAUAGUUAGUAGUGUGUUUUGUAUGAGUGCUCAGUGGAGAUUGUAGAUAGUGCCUAAGAGACGGUGGUCCAGCAGGAUGCUCCAGACUCCUCCAUCAGCCGAUGCACAUAUAUGUAGUUUGAGAGAUUGUGUUUAUGUACUCUAGACUUAUCAAGUGUGCAAGAAAUCACGAAGAUAAAUUUAUGUUUAAAUUCUGAAUAUGUGUGGUGAAUAUGGAUGAUGGAAAUGUAUUGAAAUUUUAUGUUGCUUGGUAAAUGUUGUUGAAGUAGUUGAGAUUUUAUGUUCUGGUGAAGAUCAAGAUAUAGCCAAGCAAUAGCUGAUGGUUAUAUUAUCCACUUAUACAGGAAAAGAUAUUUCAUAAUAUUAUUAAAUUACAUGAUUUUGCUAGAAUUGCAUGAAAAUGAUUAUAUGGUACAAUGGUGUUACAUUUAGUUGGUAUCAGAGCAGGGAUAUGACCUCUAGGGCAUAGAAGUACGGUUAGGAUUUUUGAGUGAUAUAGGAUCUAAGAUAUGUUUAUAUGUGCAGAAGGCGAUGGAAGGAGCAUCCAAUGAACAGGCUGCACAAAGAAGUCCAGCUGACCACCAACCAUCUGGUAGUGGAUCACAUACUCCACAUGAGUCUAGACACGAGGAGUCUAUACCUAUUCCACAAGAAUCUAGGCAUGAGGCCACUGUAGAAGUAGAAAGACAAGUACCUGAGCAGCAAGCUAUGUCAGAACCCCAAGUUGUACGUAGGAAUGCACCAGUUAAACGGAAUUAUAAAGAACUUAGGAAAUUAGGGGCGACUGAUUUCUAUGGUACUGUAGAUCCAACUGAAGCUGAGUCAUGGUUAAAAAGGACAAAGAGAGUGUUUAAUAUGAUGCAUUGCGGAGACGAAGAGAAGUUUGAUUAUGCAGUAUCCUUACUCCAAGAUGAUGCUUAUGACUGGUGGGAGACUGUUCCUGACUCAGAUGCUCAACCACCAAAACUUACUUGGGAUGAUUUUCAGCGAGAGUUUAAAGAUAAGUAUAUGCCAGAGAUCUAUAGGGAUGAGAAACAAAGAGAGUUCUUGAAUUUGAAGCAAGGAAAUAUGACGGUAGCUGAGUACGAAGUCAAGUUCACCCAAUUGUCCCGAUAUGCCUCGUCAAUGGUGGCAACUGAGAGGGACAAAUGUAGACGUUUUGAGGAAGGUCUCAAGUAUGAGAUCAGGAGUAAAAUUACUAUUGGAGAACUUAGGUGUUAUACAGAUUUGAGGGCUGCAGCGAUUCGAGCUGAACGCUUGAUUAAAGAGAAGCCUGCUUUCUUCUCAAAGUCAAAGAGAGAAGAAACAAGAUUUGCUGGAGAGUCUGGUGGAAGGCCUAAGAAGCGUCCAAAUGUUAGUGCACCCACUAAAUCUAUUACAAGAGGAGGUUUUUCUGGUGCUCAAGGUGGGAGAUUGAAUAACCCUCGAUCAAAUCCAACUCUUAGCCGAGGUUCAAAUGUACAGGUGAAGCCUACAUGUCAAACUUGCGGAAGGCAACAUUUUGGGCAAUGUAGAGCUCAAACGGGAGGAUGUUAUUUGUGUGGGGAACAAGGCCAUUUCAUUAGAGACUGUCCCAACAAAAGGGAAAAUGUACAGGCUGUAUCUGAACCAAGUGUUCAGAAUGUAGAAGUGAAAGGAGUUGGUACAUCUUUUGGAAGAGGUAGAGGCAAGAAGGGUACAGGUAGCACUGGGGGAGGCAUUGGAAGAUCACAGGCUCAAAGUUCAAAUCCACCAACCCAGGCACGAGUUUUUGCAUUAACGAGAGGAGAGGCAGAAGUUGCACCUGAGGUUAUAACGGGUAAAGUUCUCUUAUAUCAAUUAGAUGCGUAUGCUCUUAUCGACCCUGGUUCAACACAUUCAUUCAUACCAUCUAAAAUGACAUCUCACUUACAUAGAAGUCAUGAAAUACUAGAUCUCAAAGUAAAUGUUCAUACACCACUAGGAGAAGUGGAAGUAGUAGUUCAAAUAUAUAGAGACUGUCCUAUCGAAAUAGGAAAUACGGAAUUAAAAGCAGACUUGAUAGUAUUGCCUUUUCAAGAGUUUGAUAUCAUACUAGGCAUGGAUUGGUUGACAAGACAUCAUGCUAAAGUUGAUUGUUACGCUAAAGAAGUUACGAUCGAGUCACCAGGACAAGGGAGAGUCGUAUUUCAAGGAGAAUGUAGGAUGAUAUUUAGUUGUUUAAUUUCGGCUAUGAGUGCUUUUAAGAUGAUUAGAAAGGGCUGUGAAGCGUAUUUAGCACACGUGGUAGACCCGAACACUAACUCAACUAAACUUGAGACUAUUCCAAUAGUUCGAGAAUUCCCAGAUGUGUUUCCAGAUGAUUUGCCAGGAAUGCCGCCGGAUAGAGACAUAGAGUUUAGUAUUGAGACAGUUCCUGGUAGUACCCCUAUUUCUAUUCCUCCUUACCGAAUGGCACCCGUAGAGUUAAAAGAGUUAAAGAAGCAGUUGAUAGAAUUAUUGGAAAAAGGUUUUAUCCGCCCAAGUGUUUCACCAUGGGGAGCGCCAGUAUUAUUUGUCAAAAAGAAGGAUGGAACUAUGAGGCUAUGUAUCGAUUAUCGAAAAUUAAAUCAAGUCACGGUUAAGAACAAAUAUCCAUUACCAAGAAUAGAUGACUUAUUUGAUCAAUUACAAGGGGCUCAAGUGUUUUCAAAGAUUGAUUUGAGAUCAGGAUAUCAUCAAUUGAAGAUUGCCAAGGAAGAUAUCCCAAAAACUGCUUUCCGAACUAGAUAUGGUCACUUUGAAUUUCUAGUUAUGCCGUUUGGGUUAACAAAUGCUCCAGCUGUGUUUAUGGCACUUAUGAACAAGGUGUUUCAACCUUUUCUGGAUAAAUUUGUUAUAGUAUUCAUCGAUGACAUAUUGGUAUAUUCAAAGAGUAAAUCUGAGCAUGAAGAGCAUUUAAGAACAGCUUUACAAAUCUUAAGAGAAAACCAAUUAUAUGCUAAGCUGAGUAAAUGUGAGUUUUGGUUGGACCAUGUCGUAUUCCUAGGACAUGUUAUUUCUAGUAAAGGAAUUGAAGUGGACCCAAAGAAAAUAGAGGCUAAAUGGAAUUGGGAAGUACCCAAGAAUGUUACAGAAGUGAGGAGUUUCUUAGGAAUGGCUGGUUAUUACAGACGUUUUGUUGAAGGAUUUUCUAAGAUUGCCGGACCAAUGACCAAAUUACUCAGAAAGAAUGUUCCUUUUCAAUGGACUGAAGAAGCUCAACAAAGUUUUGAUGAAUUAAAGCGAAGAUUGACAUCCGCUCCAGUGUUGACUACACCAUCAGGACAAGGUGGUUUUGUAGUAUAUAGUGAUGCGUCACAACAAGGCUUAGGGUGUGUCCUUAUGCAACAUGAAAAAGUUAUAGUUUAUGCUUCAAGACAGCUCAGACCGCAUGAAAAGUCAUAUCAUGUACAUGAUCUAGAAUUGGCAGCAAUUGUUUUUGCAUUGAAAAUUUGGAGGCAUUACUUAUACGGGGAGACAUUUCAGAUUUUUACAGACCAUAAGAGUCUAAAGUAUUUAAUGAGUCAGAAAGAGUUGAAUAUGAGACAGAGAAGAUGGGUGGAACUUUUAAAGGAUUAUGAUUGUACGUUAGAAUAUCACCCAGGAAAGGCCAAUAUAGUGGCAGACGCUUUAAGUCGGAAAUGUAGUAGCGUAGCAAAUCUUCAAGGAUCGACGUUCCCAUCUUUAGUUGAAUUAAGAAAGAUGAAUAUUGGGUUAGAGGUUGACACCUGUGGAGUUUUAUUGGCUACACUAAAUAUCCGACCGGUGUUGAAGGAAAGGAUCCAGAAGGCACAAAUAAAUGAUCCUAAAUUAAGAGACGCAGUCGAGAGAGUAAGACAAGGUCAAGAAACUCAGUUCACGUUAUAUGAGGAUACUUUAAUGUUAGGAAACAGAAUUUGUGUUCCAAAUGACGAAGACUUAAGACGAGAAAUUCUAGAUGAAGCUCAUAAUGCUCCAUAUGCCAUGCAUCCCGGAGCAACAAAAAUGUAUAAUACGAUGAAAUCUCAUUAUUGGUGGUCUGGAAUGAAAAGAGAUGUGGCAGAGUUUACAGCCAAAUGUUUAACGUGUCAACAAGUGAAAGUGGAACAUCAAGCUCCAGCUGGGAAGUUACAUCCGUUGUCGAUUCCUGAGUGGAAGUGGGAAAAGAUCACUAUGGAUUUUGUAACAAAUUUACCCAAGACAAGGAAGGGAAAUGAUGCAAUAUGGAUCAUUGUUGAUCGACUUACCAAAUCAGCUCAUUUUCUACCAAUACGUUGGGGUUGCACACUAGAUCAUUUAGCUCAAAGGUAUGUGAAUGAGAUUGUACGAUUACAUGGAGUACCAAUAUCCAUUGUUUCAGAUAGAGAUCCAAGAUUUACUUCUAGAUUUUGGAAAAGUUUACAAGAAGCAAUGGGUACAAGAUUGAAUUUUAGUACAGCCUUUCAUCCUCAGACUGAUGGGCAAUCUGAAAGAACCAUUCAAACGUUAGAGGAAAUGUUAAGAGCGUGUGUGAUUGAGUUUAAAGGUUCAUGGGAUGAAUAUAUUGCUUUGAUGGAAUUCGCCUACAACAAUCAUUUCCAUAGCAGUAUUGGAAUGGCACCUUAUGAAGCCUUGUAUGGACGGAAGUGCAGAAGUCCCUUGUACUGGGAUAAAGAAGGUACUAUCAUUUUAGAAGGGCCAGAACUUGUCCAGAAUGCAGUAGAUAAGGUAAACAUUGUAAAAGCAAAGCUGAAGGCUACCCAAGAUCGACAGAAAAGUUAUGUGGACCAAAAUAGAAGAGAGAUGGAAUAUCAAGUAGGUGAUAAAGUAUUUCUGAAAGUAUCGCCAUGGAAAGGGGUGAUGAGAUUCAGCAAUAAAGGGAAGUUGAGUCCUAGGUAUAUUGGACCAUAUGAAAUAAUUGAGAAGAUAGGACCACUUGCCUAUAGAUUAGCAUUGCCCCCAGAACUUUCUCAAAUCCAUGAUGUAUUUCAUGUAAGCAUGUUACGAAGAUAUAGGUCAGAUCCUACACACGUUUUGAAGGACCCCGGGAUAGAAAUCAAUGACAAUUUGAGUUACAUUGAAGAACCUGUCAAGAUAAUAGGGCACAAGACCAAACAACUGAGGAAUAGAGAAAUACCGCUAGUCAAAGUACUAUGGAGAAACCACGCAGUGGAAGAAGCCACAUGGGAGACAGAGGAGCAUAUGAGAAGCAAGUACCCUCACCUAUUCGACAAUCCAGGUACAUUUUUGAAUUUUGAGGACAAAAUUCUUUAAAGGGGGGAAGAGUUGUCACACCCUGGUCCCAAACAAAUGCUUAUAUAAUACUUUUGAAUGUAUUAAAAUAGUUUUCGGGAUUUUUAGAUUUAACAAAAAUAUUUUGUUUUAGGAUUUAUAAGGAAUUUGCGAAUAGUAAGGUGACCCUAUAAAGGAGAAAGGACAUGAAGGGGUAAAAAUAAAAGUCUCAGAAUAAUUUUUAGAUAUUUUAUAAAUUACCAGAGCGGAGAAAUAGUGAACAGAAGUACGGUCAGAAUUGUAUGAUUUUGCACCGAACUGUGAUUAUAAAAUCCAGUUAUUAGAAAAUAGGUGAAAAUAGAAAAGACACAAAAUGAGCCAAGAAUUUUCCUAGAGUAUCUAAAUAAAUUGUGGAACUCAUUUAUGAAUUUUCGGAAAUUUUACGAAGCUCAAGGAAGUUAAAAUGAAAAGGAAUAAAGGAGCCGGAUACCCAAGAUUUCCGGACUGCAAAAUGACCUUUAAACUAAACCAGCGGAAUUUCGGAAGGAAUACUGAAGAGAAGGUUAGUACGUUUAUGAUCUUUGGAGUCUCUAGAACAUUCCUAUAUUGAGUUUGAAGAAAAAUCUCGAGAUUAAGAGUGAACAGGGAUCAGUGGAAAAAUAUCAGACCGAUACAUCCCUAAGAAAAAGUGAAAUAUUUUCGGACUCCAAAUGAGCUCAUUUUACAGUCAAAAAUUCCCAAAUAAUAUAUUAGGAAUUAUUAUAUCGUUGGAAUUCGUCAACGAGAUCAAGAAUAGUGAGAUUUAAUUUAAGAUUUCAAGAAAAUGAUUAGAUUAAAAUGAAUAAGCCUUAAAUGAAUCCAUGAAGUCUCUGGACAUACCGUUGGCAAAUUAAAUGUUGCCACGUGUCAAGCAAGCAUUUCACCGCCUGAAUAACUAGAUAAACAUUCAGUUAACAUAAUGAAAAUUGUAGAGUUCAUCCAUUUUAAUGAAGAAAUUCGAAGUGGAAGAACUAUAAAACAGGGAGGAGAAGAAAAUUCAUAGAAAAAGAUUCCUAGCUCGGAUUUUGACGUUCUAUAGCUUGUUUCGAAGAGCUUGACAAGGGCUGCGAUUUGAGUGGUAAGGUUCUUGAUUUCCUCUGCAAUAACAUGUUCAUAAAUGGCUUCGAUUAUAGCUUGUUUAUACUUACAUAAUUCUAUAAGUAUUAAGUUAGCUACAUGAUGGGUUUGUUGUGGAAGCUUGUAAGAUGAAAGUUCUUGACUUGUGUAUGGAACAACAAGGCUGGGUAUAUAGAGUAUGAUGAUAUUAAGUUGAUAUAAUUGCUUGGGUAAGCCUAUAACAUGAGUUUAACCACGGAAACGUUAAGAUUAUAGCCGUUAUGCUGGCCGAUUUACAAGAGACAGCUACUGUUACUGUUCACCUGUGAGUCUUCACUUCGAAUUUAUGAAGUUACUUUAUAUGGUUGGAUAGAUCUUGAUUAGUAGAUCGCGUGAGCGCUUGAAUCAUGCAAAACGGAUUUACGGUUUAGAAAUUAUGGCCAUUUUAGUACAGGACGCGCAGAAUCUUAGUUUCCGUAAGAAAAUGAACUUUGAGGUUACAAUUCGGUUAGUUCAAAGAUGAUAUAAAUCAUGGAAUAAUUUGAGUAAAUACUAGGGACAAAUUGGGAGGUAUAUGAGUUGGUUUCGUGAUAAAAACUCGAAUGGUUUAUAAGUGAAAAAUGUCGGAACCUAAAGAUGUAAAUAGUAACAAUACGUGAGACGAGAAACAGUUAGUACCAGAUCUCUUUAAAAUGAAAGGAUUAACAAUAAGAGUAAUUAGAAGGGACUUUAAGGGUAGGUAACACAUACACAAACUAUGAUAUAGAGUUAUAAAGGAUCUUAAUGAUUAAUUAUGUCCUUUAUAGGUGCACAGAAAGGUGCAGAAGGACCUUAAGGACAGGAAGUUGUGAUUGAGUUGCUGAAGUAAGGUGAGUAUACAUCAACACUACUUAUAUCUAUGUGAUAUGUGAAUUACGUGCUUUUAUAUGCUGAAAGUGAUAUAUUAGAAUAUUGAUUUGACUAUGUGAUUCUAUACAUGACUGAAGUUCUUUGAUGUCAACGUAGUGUGAUGAUAUAUCAAAGUACAUGUAUAUAUGGAAUGUGUAUUGACCUGUGAUUUCACGAACGAUACAUUAACAUAGAGUCUGCAUAUAGAACAGGUCAUAUGCACACCCUACAUUCAUUUGAUAGUGAUAAAUUAAAAAGUCAAAGUGACAGUCACUUGUGUAAUGGCCACCUUUAUAUAUGGAACCUACGGGUAAUUACGGAGCAGACUAUAUGUCAGCCAUAGACGGGGCCGACUUGUGUCGGACAUAGACGGAGCCGAUUUCCAUAGUCGGACAUAGACGGAGCUGGCCAGACACACAUGGAUCCUUUGAGGACAUGUGGAAACACGGGCAUUAUACAGUGAACUGUGCACAAUAGCCAAAGAAAGAGAAACAGAGAUGCAUGCAUGCAUAGAUACAAGUUCUUACUUUCAUGGCAUAUAUGAUUAACAUAUGUCAGUGCUUUAUGAAUAAGUAAAACAUAUAUGUGAUGAUGUUAUACCUUGGUGUAAUUUGGAUGAUGAUAAUAUUAUGAAUGAAAGAUAUUAAUUGCUCUCAUAAAUACGAACAGGAAAUAUAUAUUAAAAUGAAUAUUUUCUUACAAUUGUUUCGAGAACCUUACUUUCUUUUAUUUUCUGGAAGAUUUUACAAAGACGCUACAAGUUAUUUUCGGACAAUCUCAGUAUCUUUUACAAACUAAAGUUGAUGUAUAUUCAUUGAGUUGCGACUCAUGGAAAUCGCUCAAUUUUUCCAGGAUAUGAAUAGUUAGUAGUGUGUUUUAUAUGAGUGCUCAGUGGAGAUUGUAGAUAGUGCCUAAGAGACGGUGGUCCAGCAGGAUGCUCCAGACUCCUCCAUCAGCCGAUGCACAUAUAUGUAGUUUGAGAGAUUGUGUUUAUGUACUCUAGACUUAUCAAGUGUGCAAGAAAUCACGAAGAUAAAUUUAUGUUUAAAUUCUGAAUAUGUGUGGUGAAUAUGGAUGAUGGAAAUGUAUUGAAAUUUUAUGUUGCUUGGUAAAUGUUGUUGAAGUAGUUGAGAUUUUAUGUUCUGGUGAAGAUCAAGAUAUAGCCAAGCAAUAGUUGAUGGUUAUAUUAUCC